UCCCGUGUGGUCUAGUGGUUACGACUCUUGGCUUUAGCCCAGGCAACCCGGGUUCAAUCCCCGGCAUGGGAA
RNAcentral lists this transfer RNA (72 nucleotides) under Stegodyphus mimosarum. Its description in RNAcentral is "tRNA-Sup for anticodon UUA". It matches the Rfam family "tRNA". From Rfam's summary of the family: Transfer RNA (tRNA) molecules are approximately 80 nucleotides in length. Their secondary structure includes four short double-helical elements and three loops (D, anti-codon, and T loops). Further hydrogen bonds mediate the characteristic L-shaped molecular structure. tRNAs have two regions of fundamental functional importance: the anti-codon, which is responsible for specific mRNA codon recognition, and the 3' end, to which the tRNAs corresponding amino acid is attached (by aminoacyl-tRNA synthetases). tRNAs cope with the degeneracy of the genetic code in two manners: having more than one tRNA (with a specific anti-codon) for a particular amino acid; and 'wobble' base-pairing, i.e. permitting non-standard base-pairing at the 3rd anti-codon position. Lineage: Eukaryota; Metazoa; Arthropoda; Arachnida; Araneae; Eresidae. The record is from Rfam by way of RNAcentral.